This 468-nucleotide ribosomal RNA is filed under the name uncultured bacterium. RNAcentral's name for it is "partial 16S ribosomal RNA". It matches the Rfam family "Bacterial small subunit ribosomal RNA", at positions 28 to 507 of the family's 1533-position model. The record is from RNAcentral.
GACGAACGCUGGCGGCGUGCUUAACACAUGCAAGUCGAACGGAAAGGCCCUGCUUUUGUGGGGUGCUCGAGUGGCGAACGGGUGAGUAACACGUGAGUAACCUGCCCUUGACUUUGGGAUAACUUCAGGAAACUGGGGCUAAUACCGGAUAGGAGCUCCUGCUGCAUGGUGGGGGUUGGAAAGUUUCGGCGGUUGGGGAUGGACUCGCGGCUUAUCAGCUUGUUGGUGGGGUAGUGGCUUACCAAGGCUUUGACGGGUAGCCGGCCUGAGAGGGUGACCGGCCACAUUGGGACUGAGGUACAGCCCAGACUCCUACGGGAGGCAGCAGUGUGAAAUAUUGCACAAUGGGCAGAAGCCUGAUGCAGCAACGCCGCGUGCGAGAUGACGGCCUUCGGGUUGUAAACCGCUUUCGCCUGUGACGAAGCGUGAGUGACGGUAAUGGGUAAAGAAGCACCGGCUAACUACGUG